AUACGGAGGGUGCAAGCGUUACUCGGAAUCACUGGGCGUAAAGGAUGCGUAGGCGGAUAAUCAAGUCAAAAGUGAAAUCCUACAGCUUAACUGUAGAACUGCUUUCGAAACUGGUUAUCUAGAAUAUGGAAGAGGCAGAUGGAAUUAGUGGUGUAGGGGUAAAAUCCGUAGAGAUCACUAGGAAUACCGAUUGCGAAGGCGAUCUGCUGGGACAUUACUGACGCUGAGGCGUGAAAGCGUGGGGAGCAAACAGGAUUAGAAACCCUAGUAGUCC
Molecule: ribosomal RNA, 274 nt
Filed under: uncultured bacterium
Lineage: Bacteria
Description: partial 16S ribosomal RNA
Rfam family: Bacterial small subunit ribosomal RNA
Source: RNAcentral